UAUUGGACAAUGGAGGAAACUCUGAUCCAGCCAUGCCGCGUGAGUGAUGAAGGCCUUCGGGUUGUAAAGCUCUUUGAUUGGAGACAAUAAUGAUGGUAUCCAAAGAACAAGCCCCGGCUAACUCUGUGCCAGCAGCCGCGGUAAUACAGAGGGGGCUAGCGUUGUUCGGAAUUACUGGGCGUAAAGCGUGCGUAGGCGGCCUAGUAAGUCAGAAGUAAAGCCCAAGGCUUAACCUUGAAUUGCUUUUAUACUGCAGGCUUAAGGUGGAGAGGAUAGUGAAUUCUAGUGAGAGUGAAUCCGAGUUAAGGAACACCAGUGGCGAGCACAUCUGGCCCUUCUAGCGCUGCAUCAGACAGUACUG
RNAcentral lists this ribosomal RNA (361 nucleotides) under uncultured bacterium. Its description in RNAcentral is "bacterial SSU rRNA". It matches the Rfam family "Bacterial small subunit ribosomal RNA", at positions 362 to 764 of the family's 1533-position model. The record is from RNAcentral.